This 497-nucleotide ribosomal RNA is filed under the name uncultured bacterium. Its description in RNAcentral is "partial 16S ribosomal RNA". It matches the Rfam family "Bacterial small subunit ribosomal RNA", at positions 28 to 507 of the family's 1533-position model. The record is from RNAcentral.
GAUGAACGCUGGCGGCGUGCCUAAUACAUGCAAGUCGAGCGAACAGAUGAGGAGCUUGCUCCUCUGACGUUAGCGGCGGACGGGUGAGUAACACGUGGAUAACCUACCUAUAAGACUGGGAUAACUUCGGGAAACCGGAGCUAAUACCGGAUAAUAUAUUGAACCGCAUGGUUCAAUAGUGAAAGACGGUUUUGCUGUCACUUAUAGAUGGAUCCGCGCCGCAUUAGCUAGUUGGUAAGGUAACGGCUUACCAAGGCAACGAUGCGUAGCCGACCUGAGAGGGUGAUGCGCGACAGGGGAACUGAGACACGGUCCAGACUCCUACGGGAGGCAGCAGUAGGUAAUCGUCCGAAAUGGGCGAAAGCCUGACGGAUCAACGCCGCGUGAGUGAUGAAGGUCUUCGGAUCGUAAAACUCUGUUAUUAGGGAAGAACAAAUGUGGAAGUAACUAUGCACGUCUUGACGGUACCUAAUCAGAAAGCCACGGCUAACUACGUG